UUGCCCAGUAGAUACAACCCAAGAGGGGGGGUGAAUUGGGUCUUUUAAAACUUUUAGGCUACUUCUAACACUUUUCAAUUAAUUAUGCUAAGUUGUAUAGAUGCACAGUGGAAUUUAAACUUAGCAACAGUUUGAUUUAUUGAAUGAGACUUGAUUAAGUAAAUUGAAUAUGCUUGCAACUAAAGGAUGCGCGGAUAAGAGUUAAGCAACCAAUUUAUCUAAGUAAGUAAGUGAGCAAGUUAGACAAUGAUAAAAAGCAUCACAAACACAACAGACAUAUAGUGGUUCAGUGCACCCCAGCACCUACAUCCACUUCCCAAGACCUCUUGGGAAUUUCACUAUAAUCCUCCAGAUUACAGUCCGGUAGUUUUGCGAGUGCACUACCCAACUCGUUGUUUUACACCGGGC
Molecule: long non-coding RNA, 408 nt
Filed under: Phoenix dactylifera (date palm)
Lineage: Eukaryota; Viridiplantae; Streptophyta; Magnoliopsida; Arecales; Arecaceae
Description: long non-coding RNA (PDAC_LNC017188)
Source: RNAcentral